Molecule: long non-coding RNA, 194 nt
Organism: Conger conger (European conger)
Lineage: Eukaryota; Metazoa; Chordata; Actinopteri; Anguilliformes; Congridae
Exons: 2
Source: RefSeq, a predicted model, not a curated record
GUUUAAGUUAGUGGUGAUUACCCGUGUAACCUGCAUGUAGAACUUGCUGUGGUUUUUGUCAUUGUAUUCUUAACAGGAGUUCUGACAUUUUUUUCAGAUAUUUGGAAUAAUAACGGAAUAAGACGAUGAAACCACAGAUGGAUAGCAGAGACAGAUGGUGCGGAAGAGAAGAUGAAGACUGAAAAUUCAGAGAG